RNAcentral lists this transfer RNA (63 nucleotides) under Python bivittatus (Burmese python). Its description in RNAcentral is "tRNA-Pro". Lineage: Eukaryota; Metazoa; Chordata; Lepidosauria; Squamata; Pythonidae. The record is from RNAcentral.
CAAAGAGUAGUUUAAUUAAAAUUCUGGUUUUGGGGGCCAGGGAUGAAGUUUCUUUCUCUUUGA